This 1277-nucleotide long non-coding RNA is filed under the name Bos indicus x Bos taurus (hybrid cattle). RNAcentral's name for it is "lncRNA (ENSBIXG00005031355.1)". The record is from RNAcentral. Lineage: Eukaryota; Metazoa; Chordata; Mammalia; Artiodactyla; Bovidae.
UUCCACACCACUCUGGGAAAAAAACAACUCAGAACAAUAGGGUGGCAAUUCUCAAGGCUAUACCUCCUGCCUUUUUUUCUCUUCCCUAAAACAGCUGCCACCUCCCAAAUCCCAGGGUUUGAUGUCUGUACCUCACGCCACACGCUUGUCUCGUCUUCACCUUUGUCUCCUGAGGGAUGGACACUGUUACAGAAGACGGACGUGUUUGAUGCUGAAGUCACACAGUAUCCUGCCAGCAUCAGUUAAACGAUGAAUCUUGUAUGAGAGGGAUUCACGUCUGGGACAGACAGGAGAAGAGCUCCUGGGAUUUGCAGAAGAAAGAGGCCUGGGGACAAGUAGAUGUCAUCACUGGGGCCUCAGGAAGACCUUAUCGGGCCUGUAGACUCUUCAUUUGGAGCCUUGGUCUUAGCAGUGUUGAUUUCUGGCCCUUGGCGGAUGGCUACUAUACCUGGGAGUUACUUGCCUCUGUAAGUAACUCCGAAGGCCACUUCGCCUUAGGAUGGCAGCACCAUCUGAAGGAGCUUCCCUGGAGGCUCAGUGGCGAAGAAUCUCCCUGCCAAUACAGGAGAUGCAGGUUCACUCUCUACAUCAGGAAGAUCCCCUGGAGAAGGAAAUGGCAAUCUGUUCCAGUAUUCUUGCCUGGGAAGUCUCAUGGACAGAGGAACCUGGUGGGCUACAGUCCAUGGGGUUGCAAAAGAGUUGGACAUGACUUAGGGACUAAACAGCAGCAAAAUAGGCAAGGCAUGGGAAGGCACUGUAAGAGAACUGAAGUACACUGUCAUUCCUGCCAUAACCUUCCAAAACAUUAUAGUAAAGGAAAUAAGAUGAAUCCCCCAAUAAUUUUAAUGUAACCAAAAUGGUAACUGCUAGACAAACAGGAAAUAUAUUUUGAUAAUCUGGUUAGGGUGGUUAGAAGUGGAUUCAUGGAGAAAAUGACAGAAAAAAGAUACAUUUUAAAAAUUAUUAGGAAAUGUAGCCUUGGUUAUUUUAUCUUAUUUUACUUUUAUUUUGGAGUUUUAUCAAAAUAGACUUUUUUGAGCAAUUUUAAGUUCACACCAAAACUGGGUAGAAACUUACAGAGUUCUCACAUAACCACUGUCCCCACACAUGUACUGUCUACCCCACUAUUAACAUUUCCCCUACCCCACUAGUGGUAUAAUUGUUACAGUUGAUAACAGACCGUGACAAACAUCAUCAUCACCCAAAAUCCAUAGUUUACAUUAGGGUUCAGUCUUUGGAGAAAAGAAUAAAGACAUGUAUCCAUCACUAUAGUAGCA